ACGCGAAAGGGCCCCACGGGGAGCGAGUAGAGAGGCGCCCCGGCGGAGAACACGUAGGUAAUCUACCUUUGGAUAGGGAACAACACCGGAAACGGUUGCUAAUACCGAAUAAUGCAGCGGCACCUAAUGGUGACAGUUGUUAAAGCGGGGGAUCGCAAGACCUCGCGUCUAAAGAGGAGCCUGCGGCGGAGUAGCUAGUUGGUAAGGUAAUGGCUUACCAAGGCUAUGAUCCGUAGCCGGCCUGAGAGGGCGGUCGCCCACACUGACACUGACAUACGGGUCAGACUCCUACGGGAGGCAGCAGUCGGGAAUUUUGGGCAAUGGGCGAAAGCCUGACCCAGCAACGCCGCGUGAAGGAUGAAAUCCUUCGGGAUGUAAACUUCGCAAGAACGGGAAGAAUAAGUAAGAGCUAACAUCUCUUAUGAUGACGGUACUGUUUGUAAGCUCCGGCUAACUCCGUGCCAGCAGCCGCGGUAAUACGGGGGGAGCAAGCGUUGUUCGGAUUUACUGGGCGUAAAGGGCGCGUAGGCGGCCACCGCAAGUCGAUUGUGAAAUCUCCGGGCUUAACCCGGAAAGGUCAACCGAUACUGCGGGGCUAGAGUGCAGAAGGGGCAACUGGAAUUCUCGGUGUAGCGGUGAAAUGCGUAGAUAUCGAGAGGAACACCUGCGGCGAAGGCGGGUUGCUGGGCUGACACUGACGCUGAAGUGCGAAAGCUAGGGGAGCGAACGGGAUUAGAUACCCCGGUAGUCCUAGCCUUAAACGAUGAAUGCUUGGUGUC
This 779-nucleotide ribosomal RNA is filed under the name uncultured bacterium. RNAcentral describes it as "bacterial SSU rRNA". It matches the Rfam family "Bacterial small subunit ribosomal RNA", at positions 64 to 824 of the family's 1533-position model. The record is from RNAcentral.